Molecule: long non-coding RNA, 2172 nt
Filed under: Daphnia pulicaria
Lineage: Eukaryota; Metazoa; Arthropoda; Branchiopoda; Diplostraca; Daphniidae
Description: uncharacterized LOC124314931, transcript variant X5
Source: RNAcentral
AUGGGGUGGUUGUCUGAUGUUUCUUUCUUUAACCACAUUAAAAAAAUAUGGCGACCACGUCGACCACGUUGCGAGAUGCCGGCUGCCGGGAUUUAUUUUUCGCCAUUAAUAAAAUAAUAAUUACCGCCUACUUCAACAAUUGGUGUCGUACGAAAACAGCAGUGCAAUGUACCAUAGAGAGUGUGGGUUGUGGUCGUGGAGAAAAUCAGUUUCAACUAGUUAAAUUAAUAAGAAUAGUAGAACUUCAGUGAAGGGUGUAGUAAAAGUUGAGUUCAGAAUUUAAAAUCUUUCAAUAAUUCUGAAUGUGCUAAAAAUCGAAUUUUUUAUUCUUUUUAAGUUCCAGACAUACAACAUUUUCUUGUUUUAGUUGCAAGUGGUUGCAAUGAUGGUGUACCAAUGGUGAAGGCAGAAUGAGAAACAGGUUUUAGGACAAGAAAAAUCACAGUGACACAAGAAAUAGUCAUCCUGUUAGACUCUGGAAUAUUUGCAUUUCAACCGAUAUUGGUGCAAAUACUGAUUCUAUAAGUCACAUCUUUGCAGAAGAAAUGGCAGCCUGGAAGAAAUUGGCGGUGGUGAUUGGUGUGAAUUUAGAAAUUGAGGCAGGUGUUUCCCACAAUGUACUUGACGAAAGAACUUGAAGGCACUGUAAGCCAAUGCUAUCUGGAAUUUCGCUAGAAAUGUCUUUCAGACAGUCAUAAACGUUGAGAAAAAAGAAGAACCUGAACUCAAAAUAGAACCAGAAGAACCAUAUAGCAUAUAUACUACCGGUAUAACUCUCCAAGACCCACGUGCUCAAAGACUACAUGUAUUAUUAUGGCAUGCUCUUGUUCAUUUACGACUAAUGGUUUUGGUGGAGUCAUCAAAUUGGGCAUUGGAAAGCUAGCUGCAAAGAUUUGUAAACUAGUACACGAGCAAUCCACUUCCGGUCGGUAAGAACCAGGCGUCCUAGAAGAGACACUAUAAAUGACAAAGGCAUAGAGGAAUAGGAAACAUUUUCAUUUCUUUCCCAAUCCAAAGCUAAUGAGCAAAUUUUUCUUUCUAACUAAUCCGGAAACACAAAAUGAUGAAAUUCGUCUUUACGGUCAACUAGUUCGACCGUAUCAUGAGUGAACCAACUAGCCUGAUGUCAUUCAAGAUUUCCAUCACGGUCCCAAGAAUAAUUCCCCGGCUUGGAUUUUCUCAUUGGCCUGACCUCUCUUAAAGAGUCUCUCGUUUUUCCGCACAAACGGCUUUGUGUUGCUACAGAAAGGGUGUUGUUUCUCCGUAAUGAAAGUUAAAAGGGAGACUAGCCUAUAAUUUCCACAUCGCCUGAAACUGCUGUCCAUUUUGCUAGUCUUCGUUAUAGAAGAAAUUCUGCCAUCUCUUCAUCGAUGAGAGACUUGCUGUAACGUUUUGUCAGAAACACUACAGUUAAAGUAAUAAUGAAUGCUAGGUUUUAGCGAACUUAAAUGCGUUGUUCAAGUUUUGUGAGUAGACCAGUCCUGCAAUCAAAUACUGAGUUUUGAGACGUGUCAAAUAGAUGGCGUGUUGAUUGUAUCAGUAAUCGGCUAUGGCGGUUUGCUGUCAAAAGUUAAGCUUUCUUUUCUUCGAAAAUUAAUAAUGAAUUCAUAGGUAAAUUCGAAUUUUUCGUCCGUAACUUGUCGGUGAUGUGUUCUAUUCCGUGUAUAUGUUAAACAACUCUAAUGUUUCUCAUCAACUUACAGUAGGAAACGUGUAAGGGUCGUGCAGCCUAUUGUCAAAGUUCUAUUUUGUUCAAAAUAAUUGUAUUCUACUGAAUGUGCCAUCGAAAUUAUGCAGGUGUCAUCAUAAUUAUCUGCUGUUUGUAUUGGACUUGCUAGAUCACCAACCUCAGCAUAGACCAAUCUCUCAUUCCAUCAUUCUAGAUAAACUUGGAUAACUGAUGGGUGGUUUCAUGUGUUCUAAAUUAGAGGUUUCUAAAUUGGCAUGACCAACUUUAUGAGAAGUCAUGUCCUUUCAAGAAAAGGACAAGGACUAUACAGUCCUUCCUUGUUUGCUAACCUGUUGGCUGCAACCCUUGAAUCUCCAUUAUUUACUUCCUUACACGGGCCCUCCUGAUUUGAGAAUAAUCCUUCACUACUGAUCAUGGACUUCAUCCAUUGGUGAAAACGGACGAGAGAAUGCUGUAAUCCAAGACUGAUUAAUUGUGUAGUU